UGGGGAAUAUUGCACAAUGGGCGAAAGCCUGAUGCAGCAACGCCGCGUGAGUGAUGAAGGCCUUCGGGUUGUAAAGCUCUGUCUUCAGGGACGAUAAUGACGGUACCUGAGGAGGAAGCCACGGCUAACUACGUGCCAGCAGCCGCGGUAAUACGUAGGUGGCAAGCGUUGUCCGGAUUUACUGGGCGUAAAGGGAGCGUAGGCGGAUACUUAAGUGGGAUGUGAAAUACCUGGGCUUAACUUGGGUGCUGCAUUCCAAACUGGGUGUCUAGAGUGUUGGAGAGGAAAGUGGAAUUCCUAGUGUAGCGGUGAAAUGCGUAGAGAUUAGGAAGAACACCAGUGGCGAAGGCGACUUUCUGGACAAUAACUGACGCUGAGGCUCGAAAGCGUGGGGAGCAAACA
This 402-nucleotide ribosomal RNA is filed under the name uncultured bacterium. Its description in RNAcentral is "bacterial SSU rRNA". It matches the Rfam family "Bacterial small subunit ribosomal RNA", at positions 355 to 774 of the family's 1533-position model. The record is from RNAcentral.